Long non-coding RNA from Ailuropoda melanoleuca (giant panda), 372 nucleotides. RefSeq lists it as uncharacterized. The transcript has 3 exons. NCBI's taxonomy places the organism in Eukaryota, Metazoa, Chordata, Mammalia, Carnivora, Ursidae. The record is from RefSeq and is a predicted model, not a curated record.
AGGUGCUCAGGACACCCGGGCAGAAAGGCCUGCGAUCUCCCAGCCUGGGAGCUGAAGCAAGUUUCCAUUCCUGAGCCUGGGCAGGUGCUGGCCUAGCUGGAAGGCAGGGAAUUUUUGGAACAAGAGCAAGGCGGCUAAGCUGGUCACAGGUGUGCCCAAGAACCUUAAAAUAGCCCUGAAAGGGAGCAGAAGCCUGUUCCUCACUGCUUUCUGUGGGGUGCCCGCCCCCUCCCGAGGCCGCGGCGAGGGAUAAGCUCUUGUCUUCAAAGACCACGGCGGGGGCCGGACGCUGCUUCCGCAAGCACCAGCCACUCCAGAGACAGCCAGCGAGAGAGGGAACACAGCAGGGGGAGUGGGAGAGGAAGAAGCAGG